AUUACACACAUAUUUUAUGUUUUCAGGCACCUACAGAGUCAUUUAAUGAGUGUUCAGAGUCAUUGAGUGAAACAGACUUUACAAAACCUACGUCCUCUAGCUGUUCUGAAUCUCAGGAAGUUACCACAACAAAUGUACUGAUUACAAGAUAUUUUCCAGACUUUGACUUACAUACCUUAUUACAAACAACAGUUGGAGGAAACAGUAUUUUGAAAUUUUAUGAAACUCACAAACAAUUGAAUAAUACUAAGAGAAACCAAUUAACCGACAUCAUUAUCAAACAUAUUUACACCUACAUUGUAAAUCACAAAAUUACCUACGAA
This is a long non-coding RNA of Aricia agestis (brown argus), 323 nucleotides long. RefSeq lists it as uncharacterized. The transcript is spliced from 3 exons. NCBI's taxonomy places the organism in Eukaryota, Metazoa, Arthropoda, Insecta, Lepidoptera, Lycaenidae. The record is from RefSeq and is a predicted model, not a curated record.